CCUACGGGAGGCAGCAGUGGGGAAUAUUGCACAAUGGGCGCAAGCCUGAUGCAGCCAUGCCGCGUGUGUGAAGAAGGCCUUCGGGUUGUAAAGCACUUUCAGUCGUGAGGAAGGUAGUGUAGUUAAUAGCUGCAUUAUUCGACGUUAGCGACAGAAGAAGCACCGGCUAACUCCGUGCCAGCAGCCGCGGUAAUACGGAGGGUGCGAGCGUUAAUCGGAAUUACUGGGCGUAAAGCGCAUGCAGGUGGUUUGUUAAGUCAGAUGUGAAAGCCCGGGGCUCAACCUCGGAAUUGCAUUUGAAACUGGCAGACUAGAGUACUGUAGAGGGGGGUAGAAUUUCAGGUGUAGCGGUGAAAUGCGUAGAGAUCUGAAGGAAUACCGGUGGCGAAGGCGGCCCCCUGGACAGAUACUGACACUCAGAUGCGAAAGCGUGGGAGCAAACAGGAUUAGAUACCCUGGUAGUCCACGCCGUAAACGAUGUCUACUUGGAGGUCGUGGCCUUGAGCCGUGGCUUUCGGAGCUAACGCGUUAAGUAGACCGCCUGGGGAGUACGGUCGCAAGAUUAAAACUCAAAUGAAUUGACGG
This 585-nucleotide ribosomal RNA is filed under the name uncultured bacterium. Its description in RNAcentral is "bacterial SSU rRNA". It matches the Rfam family "Bacterial small subunit ribosomal RNA", at positions 338 to 916 of the family's 1533-position model. The record is from RNAcentral.